RNAcentral lists this ribosomal RNA (1907 nucleotides) under Tetranychus urticae (two-spotted spider mite). RNAcentral's name for it is "SSU rRNA". It matches the Rfam family "Eukaryotic small subunit ribosomal RNA", at positions 197 to 1823 of the family's 1831-position model. The record is from RNAcentral. Lineage: Eukaryota; Metazoa; Arthropoda; Arachnida; Trombidiformes; Tetranychidae.
CCCUGUUCAGUGAUUUCGGUCGCUGUCUAAGGACUAGCAGUGGGGAUCUUAGCAACUUCGGUUGCAUUUCUUGUGAUGACUCUGAAUAACUGAGCAAAUCGUAUGGCCUCUGAGCCGACGAUGUAUCCCUCAAGCAACUGCCUUAUCAACUGUCGAUGGUAGGUUAUGCGCCUACCAUGGUUGUAACGGGUAACGGGGAAUUAGGGUUCGAUUCCGGAGAGGGAGCCUGAGAAACGGCUACCACAUCUAAGGAAGGCAGCAGGCGCGCAAAUUACACAAUCCCAGUACGGGGAUGUAGUGACGAAAAAUAACAAUACGGGACUCUAUUGAGGCCCCGUAAUUGGAAUGAGUACAAUUUAAAUCCUUUAACGAGGAUCUAUUGGAGGGCAAGUCUGGUGCCAGCAGCCGCGGUAAUUCCAGCUCCAAUAGCGUAUAUUAAAGUUGCUGCGGUUAAAAAGCUCGUAGUUGGAUUUCAGUCGAACCUAUGGGGUCCACUGAUUAAAGGGUUAGAUGGUGAUGUUAGGUUUCUUGCUUGUGUCUACGGAUGCUAGCUUGAACCUUCAUUCCUCUUUCCUGGUGGUUACAUUCAUAGUGUUUAGACAGAAAAUUGCUCGAUAUUUGCUAUCAAUGCUCUUUACCGAGUGUUGAUUCAGCGAUCGAGACUUUUACCUUGAAAAAAUCAGAGUGCUCAAAGCAGGCGUCCAAAACCUCGAAAGAGGUGCCUAAAAACGGUAUGGUCAACCAUCUAUAUGAUGCGUACCACUACCUUAACUUGAAUGAUCUUGCAUGGAAUAAUGGAAUAGGACCUUGGUUCUAUUUUGUUGGUCUUAAGAAUCCAAGGUAAUGAUUAAGAGGGACAGACGGGGGCAUUUGUAUUGCGGCGCUAGAGGUGAAAUUCUUGGACCGUCGCAAGACAAACUACAGCGAAAGCAUUUGCCAAGAAUGUUUUCAUUAAUCAAGAACGAAAGUUAGAGGUUCGAAGGCGAUCAGAUACCGCCCUAGUUCUAACCAUAAACGAUGCCAACCAGCGAUCAUUCUGAGUAACUAAUUUCAUGACUCGAAUGGAAGCUUCCGGGAAACCAAAGUUUUUGGGUUCCGGGGGAAGUAUGGUUGCAAAGCUGAAACUUAAAGGAAUUGACGGAAGGGCACCACCAGGAGUGGAGCUUGCGGCUUAAUUUGACUCAACACGGGAAAACUCACCCGGCCCGGACACUGAGAGGAUUGACAGAUUGAGAGCUCUUUCUUGAUUCAGUGGGUGGUGGUGCAUGGCCGUUCUUAGUUGGUGGAGUGAUUUGUCUGGUUAAUUCCGAUAACGAACGAGACUCUAGCCUACUAAAUAGACUUGCAGUUUACACUGCAGUACUCCCCCUUAGUCAACCUGUGGGUGGUAGUAUCUCUUGAUGGUUUCGGCUGUUGAGGGCUCUGCUGCUAUUAGCCUACAGAAUUGGCUAGGGUAAGGAUGCUGUAGCACUGUAAGGACUUCUUAGAGGGACAAGCGGCGCUCGCAGCCGCACGAAACAGAGCAAUAACAGGUCUGUGAUGCCCUUAGAUGUCCGGGGCCGCACGCGUGCUACACUGAAGUGGUCAUCGUGCAUACUGUUUCUGCUCCGAAAGGAGUGGGUAACCGCUUGAACCCAUUUCGUGAUGGGGAUUGGGCAUUGUAAUUAUUGCCCAUGAACGAGGAAUUCCCAGUAAGCGUGAGUCAUUAGCUUGCGUUGAUUACGUCCCUGCCCUUUGUACACACCGCCCGUCGCUACUACCGAUUGAAUGAUUUAGUGAGGACUUCGGACUGGUCAAUCCAGACCAUUGGGAAACUAGUGGUCGGAUUGUGCUGGAAAGAUGUUCAAACUUGAUCAUUUAGAGGAAGUAAAAGUCGUAACAAGGUUUCCGUAGGUGAACUGCGGAAG